AAGGGGGCUCCGGACACGGGCUGGCGGGGCAGAUGUAGGCCCCGGGAGGAGCCGCUGCAGCUCCGGGCUCGGCGGUAACAGCCGCCCCGGCCUCCGUGGAGGCAGAGCCGGGAAGCCGGAACCGGGGUCGGCGGCGUUUCUAAGGCUAGAGCCGCUCCCGAGCUACCGGGGAAGCUGAAAAGCUGAAAUGGAAGGGCUGAGACCCCAGCCGCCCCCGCCGAUCGCCCGCCAGUACAAGAAGAGGAGGUCCUUGCGCCCGCCCAGUGGAGAAAAUUGAUGCUCUGGAAGGAAAUACUCAGAGAAUCGGAUCUAGCAUCUCCUAACGCAGCUCGCAAACAAGCGAAAGGUUGAUGGUGCACUCUGUGCCCAAAGACUGAGAAGACAGAAAGACAAAAGAAGAAACAGCUGCACUUCCAGGCAUACUUCAGGCAGGGCCUGGAGAAGGACUAACAACUUCCCAAGGAAGAGGCUGACUCUGGAUGGAGCCCUCAGAAAUCAGAAUCCAGGAUUUGGGGCUAUUAAGACACUGAAGCUCCUGACUUUUGAGAAUUUAAUAUGCCUUCAAGCAAAGUCCCUCAUAUCUGCUAUCUCUUUGAAUGCUUGCCAAAACUCUUAAGGAGGAGCAAUGGUAUAAUUCCUUACUUCUAUAGCUGAGGCUCAAAGAAUUGUCAAUUACUUGGCCAAAUUUUACAGCUGUGAAAUAACCAUAACAGGAUUUGAACCCAGACCUUGUGGGAAUCCAGAGCCCAAAGACUGACCACUCUGUAAGCCCCUUGCAGGGCUGUGCCAUACAACCAGAUAAUGGAAAUAUUGUACAUUUGCAAUUGUUUUCUCUAGCCACAUCUGGCUAUUGAGCCCUGCUUAAGGAAUUAAAAUAUUUAUUUUUGGUACUGGGAAUUUAACAAAGGAGCACUUUAUCACUAAGCUACAUC
Long non-coding RNA from Urocitellus parryii (Arctic ground squirrel), 932 nucleotides. RefSeq lists it as uncharacterized. NCBI's taxonomy places the organism in Eukaryota, Metazoa, Chordata, Mammalia, Rodentia, Sciuridae. The record is from RefSeq and is a predicted model, not a curated record.